AGAGUUUGAUCAUGGCUCAGAACGUACGCUGGCGGCACGCCUAACACAUGCAAGUCGAACGAAGUAGCAAUACUUAGUGGCAGACGGGUGAGUAACAUGUAGGUAUCUGCCCUUUGGCCUGGAAUAACACGAGGAAACUUGUGCUAAUACCGGAUAAGUCUUUACGGAGAAAGCUUUAUGCACCAUUGGAUGAGCCUGCACUUGAUUAGUUUGUUGGUGGGGUAAUGGCCUACCAAGACUGUGAUCAAUAGCUGAUUUGAGAGGAUGAUCAGCCACAUUGGGACUGAGACACGGCCCAAACUCCNACGGGGGGCAGCAG
This 319-nucleotide ribosomal RNA is filed under the name uncultured bacterium. Its description in RNAcentral is "bacterial SSU rRNA". It matches the Rfam family "Bacterial small subunit ribosomal RNA", at positions 8 to 354 of the family's 1533-position model. The record is from RNAcentral.